Molecule: ribosomal RNA, 500 nt
Filed under: uncultured bacterium
Lineage: Bacteria
Description: bacterial SSU rRNA
Rfam family: Bacterial small subunit ribosomal RNA
Source: RNAcentral
CAGUCCACGCCGUAAACGAUGAGUGCUAGCUGUCGGGACAUUAGUCUCGGUGGCGCAGCUAACGCAGUAAGCACUCCGCCUGGGAAGUACGGUCGCAAGAUUAAAACUCAAAGGAAUUGACGGGGACCCGCACAAGCGGUGGAGCAUGUGGUUUAAUUCGAGGCAACGCGAAGAACCUUACCAGGACUUGACAUCCUUAUCGCGCGCACCAGAGAUGGAGCGUUUCAGUUCGGCUGGAUAAGUGACAGGUGCUGCACGGCUGUCGUCAGCUCGUGUCGUGAGAUGUUGGGUUAAGUCCCGUAACGAGCGCAACCCUUGUCCUUAGUUGCCAGCACGUAAUGGUGGGGACUCUAAGGAGACUGCCGGUGACAAACCGGAGGAAGGUGGGGACGACGUCAAGUCAUCAUGGCCCUUAUGGGUAGGGCUACACACGUGCUACAAUGGGCAGUACAGAGGGUUGCGAAGCCGCGAGGUGGAGCUAAUCUCAGAAAACUGUUACG